ACUAAGCUUCAAUAGCGUCCUCUGUAAAACAGGAAUAAAUAAGGAGGACACAAUGGGGUCAUGAUAAAGCCCUUAGCACAGCAGCUGGCACUCAGAGAGAUUGAGAAGCCAGAAGAAGGUUCUGGAUCCCCUGGACAGAGCUGGAGUCACAGGGGGCAGUAAGUUGCCUGACAUCAGCUCAGAAAAUAUCUGGGAUCUUCUAGAGAGCAGGUACUUUUAACUAGAGAAUGGAGCCAUCAUUCUAACAGAUACAGUAGAUGCAUCACCUUUGUUUGCCGAUUGGGACAUAUUUGGCCAGAUCAGCAAUGAAUCCAGAACAAGU
Long non-coding RNA from Mus musculus (house mouse), 322 nucleotides. RefSeq annotates it as predicted gene, 40655. Lineage: Eukaryota; Metazoa; Chordata; Mammalia; Rodentia; Muridae. The record is from RefSeq and is a predicted model, not a curated record. The transcript has 3 exons.